GGGGGCUCAUUGGAAUUGGACCAGUGGAAGUGUCAACCUACCAAGAGUGGAAUCUGUUUUAGGCAGGUGUGAAAAAAUACUGUAAAGUAAAAAAUUUUUUGUCAUUUAACAAAAUACAAAGUGAGUUAACAAAAGAAAAGUCAAAUCAAUAUUUGAUGUGACCACCCUUUGCCUGCAAAACAGCAUCAAGGUACACUUGCACGAAGUGAGAGAUUUUGUAGGCAUGUAGUUACGUGUAUGAACAAACAAUUUUUCCUAACGGGUGCUAAUGAUCAUCAAUUUUAAUAUGUAGCUUGGAACGCAAUCAAUCAUUAACUGAAACAGAAA
Molecule: long non-coding RNA, 327 nt
Organism: Spea bombifrons (plains spadefoot toad)
Lineage: Eukaryota; Metazoa; Chordata; Amphibia; Anura; Pelobatidae
Exons: 2
Source: RefSeq, a predicted model, not a curated record